This 377-nucleotide unclassified non-coding RNA is filed under the name uncultured Pseudobdellovibrionaceae bacterium. Its description in RNAcentral is "uncultured Bdellovibrionaceae bacterium contains 16S-23S intergenic spacer region". The record is from RNAcentral. Lineage: Bacteria; Pseudomonadati; Bdellovibrionota; Bdellovibrionia; Bdellovibrionales; Pseudobdellovibrionaceae.
UCCGACUUAACGUCGGCGGUCCCUUUAGAGUGCCCAACUGAAUGCUGGCAACUAAAGGCAAGGGUUGCGCUCGUUGCGGGACUUAACCCAACAUCUCACGACACGAGCUGACGACAGCCAUGCAGCACCUGUGUACCGACUCUUGCGAGCGACGACAUUUCUGCCAGUCUUCCAGUACAUGUCAAACCUAGGUAAGGUUCUUCGCGUUGCAUCGAAUUGAACCACAUGCUCCACCGCUUGUGCGGGCCCCCGUCAAUUUCUUUGAGUUUUAAUCUUGCGACCGUACUUCCCAGGCGGGAUACUUAACGCGUUAGCUUCGGCACCCAGGGGGUCAAUACCCCGAACACCUAGUACCCAUCGUUUACGGCGUGGACUAC